CCUUUUCACCCCUGCCCUACAAACAUCCUAAGUCCACCACUGACAGAGAGAUACAAGUUGAAGAGCAGGCAGAUCGAGGUGGUUUUCAACUCCUCCCUUUUAUUCCCAAACCAUAGGUCCAAUCGUCAAUCUGAACAUACCACAAGAAAGAUACACUUGUUCUGAAUGCAAAGAUAUUGGUUUCAUGUUUGAAAAGUCAAAAAUGCGAUCUUCGUCGCACGUUUACGAUGUCUAGCUCACAGCUGACACAUUUGCUCAUGUUACUUCAGAGGCACUAGCUUAGAGUUCUCAAUGUCAACCCGAGCCAGAGCCGAUCCGAAUAAGGCUUGGACAGUGAAGAGAGAGAGAGAGAAAAAAAAAAGUGUGUCUGUCAGAGAAGCGCACUGUGUGAGGGUGCGACAGCAGCACUAACACACAAAGGCUGACUUUAAGUGAUUAAAGAUACUGUAUUUGAGCCAGGGAAGCCAGACUGCUGAGGCGCACAGGGGGAGCAUCAUUUUUUCCCCCUUCCAUUUAAAAAACAAAAACAACUCGGGUUCAGUCGGGCUCGGACCCAGUGAUGUACGUGAUGAUGUCGGGCCGGCCCGGUUUCGGGCUUCAAGUCCCUCGGAUCAUUUCGGUUUCGGGUUGAAUUUUUGGGCCCAUUGAGAACUCUACACUAGCUAAUUUCUUGUUGGAUUUAGGUCAGUGGUGUCAAUGAGUGAUUUGUAGAUCUCGAGAAGACAAACAAGCCAGUUUUGGUUUGAUCUUUCUAUGUCAUUCCUACAGGCAGCAGCAGCCAUUUUAGUGUGUGUAGGUGACGCAAAAAUUGUCAAGAGGUUUUGUGACAUGUUACCUUAAAGAGGGCAUAAAAUCCAAACCGUUUGAGUAAUGACAAAGUUGUUCAGAGGAAUUGUUUAGCAGGGCAUGAUCUAUCAUGUGUGCAUGUUUGAAGUCAAUACAAUAAACGGUGUAGGAGGAAAUAUUUUUUUAGUAAGAGAAUUUUUGAAAAAUGACAUCUUACUUGAUGUCAAGUAAGUCCUUCGGCCGAGGUCCCUAAUAAUAAACGCAGCAAAAACAAUAGGGACUUUGUCCUUCGGCCGAGGUCCCUAAUAAAAGGAAACUUUGCAGAUAUUCAACUAGCCACCGAUACUCUGCUGGUGUAUAGGUGGGGAGCUUGGGGGGAAGCCAAACACUUUCAUCUGCACACUGCGAUGACACAUAGCCGGUUGAAUAACGGCAGGUUCCCUGUUUCCCUUCACUGGUUUCUGUAGAGCAGGGUAGGUCUUUAUUCACUGCUAUAAUCAUUAAAAAGCAAAAUCAGCAUGUGUUAACUUUCAGCAGGCUGUAUCCUCAGUAGCGAGUUUGCUAACCCUACACUUUUUUUUAUUUUGGCUUUGGAACAAGGAAGAAAUGUAUAUCUCCUUCUAACCUCUCCAGGCAACAAGUAUCAUUAAUAAACAUUGUUCCCCAGGCAAGGCCGGGACCUAGUGAAGGGUCAAUUAUGAGAUAAAAAUACAUAAAUAUGAGUCUCCAAUUUCUUUUUCUCGGAUAAAUGCAGUGUCCUUCUGUAGAAAUGACCCCAAUUACACAGAGUUAGUGAAAAAGAGCAGUAUGUAUUUAACCUUCCUGCACAGAUGUUACAUAUUAGAAGUCCUCCAGCAGCUCAACUGGCAUACCACUGGUAGGCAUUUAAUGUGAAACAUGUACAAAAAGUCAAUGGGAUACAUCUCUGUUGUACCAAAUUAAUUAGUGCUGUGGAAAUGUACAUUAUACAUACAUUAGUUUGGCUUUAGAAUCAUAAGGGAAGCUAACUGGCCUCCUGAAUAAAAGUCGGAAGUUGUUGGACCCAUCCACCACCCCUCCCACCCGCCCUACAUGAGCCCUCACUGCCUUAACUUUCAUUUUUGUCCCACUUUUCCCUGAUGCCCCAGCGAUUGGUCACGUUUCAUGCCAACAUGAAAGGACGUCUUUUUUGUCAGUGUCUGAUGCUGUAAGUCACUGCCCAAGCGCCGGAUUUCAACAACUUCAGAGUGAGAGUGAUCCUCUGGAAUGUCCUGAUAGGAAGCGGCUAAUAGCUGUCUGGGCCCAUAUUUAAAUGCCAUUACGCUCUUUUAAAACCAUUUCAUUUGUGCUGAACCUAACAUUUGUUUAAUGUGGCUUUUGUUUAUGAUCUAGUGGUCACUUUUUGUUCUUUGUAUUUUUGUUUACUUCACUUUAUUACUUGUGUUUGUCCACAUCAUUUUAGCAAUUUUGGCAUGUUUUAACACUUGUCUUUUGUUGUUUUUGUCUUUG
This is a long non-coding RNA of Epinephelus moara (kelp grouper), 2274 nucleotides long. RefSeq lists it as uncharacterized. Lineage: Eukaryota; Metazoa; Chordata; Actinopteri; Perciformes; Serranidae. The transcript has 2 exons. The record is from RefSeq and is a predicted model, not a curated record.